CCUACGGGUGGCAGCAGGGAGGAAGAGUGGUCAAUGGCCGGAAGGCGGAACCAGCCAAGUCGAGGGAAGGAAGAAGGAUCUAUGGUUUGUAAACUUCUUUUAUAGGGGAAUAAAGGUAUCCACGUGUGGAUAUUUGCAUGUACCCUAUGAAUAAGCAUCGGCUAACUCCGUGCCAGCAGCCGCGGUAAUACGGGGGAUGCGAGCGUUAUCCGGAUUUUUUUGGUUUAAAGGGUGCGUAGGUUGUUUUUUAAGUCAGCGGUAAACGUUUGUGGCUCAACCAUAAAAUUGCCGUUAAAACUGGGGACUUGAGUGUGUUUGAGGUAGGCGGAAUGCGUGGUGUAGCGGUGAAAUGCAUAGAUAUCACGCAGAACUCCGAUUGCGAAGGCAGCUUACU
This 394-nucleotide ribosomal RNA is filed under the name uncultured bacterium. RNAcentral's name for it is "partial 16S ribosomal RNA". It matches the Rfam family "Bacterial small subunit ribosomal RNA", at positions 338 to 730 of the family's 1533-position model. The record is from RNAcentral.